CUGCAUCUUUUCUGGCCUCUCAUCCUCCCCAGCCACCCGGGUAAAGGUCAGGCUUCGCAUCCUGAUCUGUCCCUGCGCCUGUUUGCGAAUUCUCUCUCCCGUGAAAUCCUUUAAGGCUACCGCCGGCCGGGAAGGUCUCUACAGCAGCGGUCCUGCUCCCCCCGCCCCCCAGGCUGGAGGCGGGGCCCUGGGAUCCCAGCUCAGUGGUGCUGGCCUCCGGGGAGCAGGCCAGGCCCCCUGCCCCGGGGCUCCUGUGACCUGUGCUCUUCCAUCUCUAGUCAGGAGAAAACCAAAGGACUCGAUUUCUCCGUGGCUGACGUAGGAUGACCGCACUGGGCUUGUCUGCGGGCUGGGAGGCUGGAAGAGGCGUGACCAGCUCCGGGAGAGCGGAGAUCCAUCCAUCAGCCCACUGAAGGCUCUGAAGAGUGGUCACAGCUCCCAUUCUUCAAGAUGAUGAAGAGCGCGCCUCUGCAGGCCUUGGGGGACCGCAAGCCCCGACUCGGGAGGGAGCCGCCUCCCCCUGCUCCCCGAGGGGGCUCCGUGCAGCAGCAUCUGGAUGUGUCCUCCAUGCCCACCCAUGGGGUGAAGAAGGGCCCACCGCCAGGACAGCUCUGCCGCGAUUUCGGGGGCCUGACCCACAGGGAGUCCAGCCAGUGGAAGGCCCCGGCAGGGCCCCCACACACGGAAAGGAGCAUCGGGGCUGAGCUGCUGCUGCGCCUCCUUCGUUAAAUCCCCGGCAUGUUCUGACGCUGUGCUGACUUCUGCCGAAGUCUGCCUGACUCAGUGCUCACAGAUGCUGUGAACACCCACGGCUCCAUCUUUACACGCGAGGGAGCUGAGGCCCACAGAGGGUCACCGGGCGGGAGCUCCCGUGCGGGGUGCACAGUCCGGGGCGGCCUAGCUGGGGAGAGGGAGCCAUGUCUUCCUGGCUCCGGGAGGGCCGGCAGGCGGAGGCAGCUCGAAAGAUGAAUUUCGGGAUCCUGCAGCCGCAGAGAUCAGCUGGGUGCAGUGGAGUCGUCUGUGUUGGAAUCUAUCAUGGUCCCGACAUAAAUUAAUUAUAACCCUUCUGCUGGAAGCAGCUUCAUGUAUAAUUAACAUUUGCUGGAGGCAAGAGGGGCUGCCGGAGAAGCUGCUGCUUCCACGGGGCCGACGGGGCGGGGGGACCCUCUGUGCUGGGGUCAGGCCGGCUUGACCCUGACGCCAGUGGCCCUGAUGCCUGCCAGCUCCUUCCAGGGUCUUCUGGGGGAGGACCUGGGCAGAGGGUCAGGCGGGCAUCCUGAGAGGCACACCGUCCAUUUCUCAGAGUCAUCAUCCUUGAGACCCAGAGACGCUUCUGCCGCUCUGACCCUGACUAAACAGCGUCCUCUUCAGCCAGGGGCCUGCAGCCCUGAUGGGACCCAAGGAGGGCAGCGGGCGGUCUCAGAGAAACCACGGAAGGCAGGGCUGGAGGCAGUGACUGUUCGUCCCCGCGGGCAGUAGGCUGGCACCUCGUGUCCUCCUCUGAAGGUCCAGAGGCUGCUCCUGGACAGACGGUGGUGCAGAGACCUGCCCUGAGACUGCAGGACAGGGUCUAGUCAGAAGCGCAGAAUGCAGGGCGGCCCGGCGGCAGGGGGCCCGCCCUCCGGAGGAGCUGGAGGCUGGGAUCUUGGCUGUGUCAGCGCUUCUUGAGGGCUCUGGUCUGGACGCCCCUGCGGCUCCCGAGGGCACGGUGGCCAGAGAGGGACGCGGU
Molecule: long non-coding RNA, 1729 nt
Organism: Bos indicus x Bos taurus (hybrid cattle)
Lineage: Eukaryota; Metazoa; Chordata; Mammalia; Artiodactyla; Bovidae
Source: Ensembl